AAAGGUGCUGAGUGGAGCCGGCAGCCGGCGCGGCCAGCAUGGUGCUGGCGGGAACCACGUGAGGCAUGGUGAGCAAUUCCCCAGUGUGGAGCCCACAUGGGAUCAACCUUUUAAUGCUGCAGAACCCUUUAAAAACUUUUCAACUGAUAGAACUUGAGAACAAGAGAACCUAUGGACACCAGUCCUCUCUCAAGUCAGAGAAAAGAAAAAGGUGAAGACCCAUGAGGAGAACAACAUGGUGACACUAAGAAGCUGUGCAGCAUAAAGGGAGAUGCUGGCUCUGAACCCACAACUCAUUGACUAAGAUUCCUUGAAGAGUGGACUUACCAUCACUGAAACGAGCAUGAGCAGAAUAUGUCCAGCAUGAAGGGAUUUGUUGACAAGAAACCCACAUUCAAGUGACUAUAAUUCCUUGAAAAGCAGGCUUAUCAGACAUCAGGAGGAACAGAAGCAGGAUGUGUACCAGCUGCUUGGGGCUUAAUGUGACCCCAAAAGGAGUCUGUUCAGAGAAAGUAAAUUUACUUCAUUGUCUUAGGUUAUAAUGUCAAAUAUAACCAAACAGUAUGUAUUCUAUUACAAUCUGUGUCAGCUGUUAAGACAAAUGGGGCAGUGUUCUUUAUUCUCUCCAGGACUCAUCCCUGAUAACUCCCUCCAGGGGGCUAUCUAUGGGCCAUCAUGGCUUCACUGCAUCACUCACAAAAUUACAUCAUCCUGUUGUGAGAUGCUCUGCCCAAGGGGGAGAAUCAAGAAUUCCUACUUGGAUACAGUCUGAGGUUUUGGAGCACCAGAGUAGCUUUACUAACUGGAAUUUUAGAGGACAAGAGCUGCAUAACCACCACUGGAACUUCAGAGGAAGACCAGACCCUUCUAUGGGAUUGGUUCUUGAACAGAACCACAGCUAUCACUUCAGCAGGACUGCAGCCACCAUUUAACUGGACUGCUGCCACCACCCUGACCAACAGGGUGUCAAGUAGUAUCCUGACUCUGUCUGUUUAAGCCAGUGUUUUCUGCCUUUAUUCUAAUUUUCCCACUAAACUAUAACUGCCUUGGAAACUCCUACUGGUUGGUUUUCAAACUAGUACAUGGUACCGACCGGCUGGGGUUCAAAGGGAUGCGAAAAACAUUCUGUUCAGAGAAAGUAAAUUUACUUUGGAGAAAGUAAAU
Sturnus vulgaris (Common starling) is the source of this 1164-nucleotide non-coding RNA. Lineage: Eukaryota; Metazoa; Chordata; Aves; Passeriformes; Sturnidae. The record is from RefSeq and is a predicted model, not a curated record.